UAUUGCACAAUGGGGGGAACCCUGAUGCAGCGACGCCGCGUGGGUGAAGGAGCACCUCGGUGCGUAAAGCCCUAUCGGCAGGGAAGAAAAGCGAACAGGUUCGCCUGGACGGUACCUGACUAAGACGCCCCGGCUAACUACGUGCCAGCAGCCGCGGUAAUACGUAGGGGGCAACCGUUAUCCGGAUUCACUGGGUGUAAAGGGAGCGUAGACGGCGACGCAAGUCUGGAGUGAAAGCCCGGGGCCCAACCCCGGGACUGCUCUGGAAACUGCGGCGCUGGAGUACGGGAGGGGCAGGCGGAAUUCCUGGUGUAGCGGUGAAAUGCGUAGAUAUCAGGAGGAACACCGGCGGCGAAGGCGGCCUGCUGGACCGUGACUGACGUUGAGGCUCGAGAGCGUGGGGAGCAAACAGG
RNAcentral lists this ribosomal RNA (413 nucleotides) under uncultured bacterium. RNAcentral's name for it is "bacterial SSU rRNA". It matches the Rfam family "Bacterial small subunit ribosomal RNA", at positions 362 to 776 of the family's 1533-position model. The record is from RNAcentral.